Molecule: unclassified non-coding RNA, 3390 nt
Filed under: Hevea brasiliensis (rubber tree)
Lineage: Eukaryota; Viridiplantae; Streptophyta; Magnoliopsida; Malpighiales; Euphorbiaceae
Source: RNAcentral
UAACCCACUGCUGACACCAAAACACUUAGCUGAGAAACUCAUAACUUAAUCGCAAGAUUUUUGUUGCCUUUCGUUUCGGCGAACAAGAAUAGUUUACUUGUCAAUUUCGCCUCACAACCACGCGUGGAUCUCAUAUUCUCUCUAGUUCUCACAGCUUCUCGAAAGAUGAAGAUUUUAUAGCAAAUUCAAGAUUAGCCAGUUCACUUUUGGCUUUAAUUUUUCAUUCUACUGAGAUUUUGGUUGUUUUCUUGGCAUUUUUAGGCAAAAUGGCUUGGAAAUAUAAAGCUGGGUUAGGAUUGAUUGGCACGGUUGUGUUCAUAUGGGUUGCUUCUGCAGAGGUCACUCAGAACAUCUUUGAAAAGUAUAAACAGCCGUUCGCACUCACGUAUCUUGGGGUGUCUCUUAUGGUGGUCUAUCUACCCAUAGCGUUUAUAAAAGACUGGUUCUGUAGUUUAUUUCACACUUACUUGCUCAAGGACAUCUACGGUGGCAGCUCUAUUACUAGCUCUUCUACUGGACUUGAUAUCCCCCUUACAACCAAUGAUAUGUACCAAGGCCCAGAAACUGAAGCCAGUUGCUGCCUAGUAACUGACAAAGAUCCUCUCAGUCAAAGGGAGGAGGGGUGGCCUGUGAUCGUGAAGAAGGGCGACGAAGAACCUCCCUUACUUGAACGGCAUUGCAAAGCUAGUUCAUGGGAAGUUGCCAAGUGCAGUUUAUGUCUUGCUCCAAUCUGGUUUGUGGCAGAGGUAAUUUAUUCAUUCAUCUUCUAUUCAUUAGGAGACAUUGGUCUUGCAAAGCAGCUUGAUGGGGAGUGGGGCAAUCUAUUGUAUAUUGCCCAUAGCUAACAUAAAAGGUCAAAAGAAAAGAAAAGAAAAGACAUUCCCAUUUAAGGGCUAAGCAAUUACUCUUCCCAACUAAGUGUAAUUAUUCUUUUCUUAUUGUUUAUGGUUUUGAAGAUAGGUACUUUACUGUUAUAAUUGAUUGUGAAUAGGAGUCUGACAAAUUCAAAUAAACUCUGUGGCCCAGAAAAUCAUGGUCUUUCCACUGCUAAGUCACUAUUGCAACAGAUGAGAGAAGUUGUAAUUCUGUUAACUGAGAAACAGCAUUCGCCAAUGAUUUCACAAUAUAUGACAAUCUAAUUCCCUUUCUGGUUUCUUAAGUUUUCUGGUGAUUUAAAUUUAAUAUCAGCUCCAUCAUGAAUGCUGACCAGUGAUGUGAAAUGGCUGCUGAUUUGCCAAAGCUGAUACUAAUAGAUAAUCUAGUUAUCUAGACCUAAUAAUUCAGGAUUUGACCAACUGUAUGAGAAGCAGAUGCCCCAUGUUCAAUUGUUUGCAGCGAGUCAGUUGUACAUAUUUAUAUUCUACUGCUGCAUGUGUCGUUGGUAAUUGGCAACCUGAUCUGAGUUUGAUGUCUCACAUGUAGUGUGGACCUUCUAUUACUUCGGUUUCAUAGUUUUCUAUGAGAUGGCAGUCAUAAAGGUCCCUUUUUAAACAUUUUGUAUAAUUAUUUUAGUUACUUUGAUAAUGCAGUAUCUAUCCAAUUCAGCUUUAGCAAAUACAAGUGUUGCAAAUACAACUGUCUUGACUUCUACUUCGGCACUCUUUACUCUUUUCUUUGGAGCUCUUCUUGGCCAGGACUCCAUAAAUGCUGCCAAGUUGGUUGCUGUGUUUAUCAGCAUGGCUGGUGUAGCCAUGACCACAGUUGGAAAAACUUCAGCAGCAGACGAAAUGUUAAGCGUCUCUGAGGCAAGAAGGCAUUCAAUCAUGGGGGACAUAUUUGGCCUUUUCUCAGCAAUAUCAUCUGGUUUAUUUGCAGUACUGCUCAAGAGAUGUGCUGGAUCAGAAGGUGAGAAGGUUGAUAUGCAAAAGUUCUUGGGCUAUAUUGGUCUUUUCACCCUUCUUGGGCCUUGGUGGCUUUGUAAGUAGUUAAAAGUUACAAGCUUUUAUGCCCAUCAAUUGCGUCUGAAAAACACAUGCAUGAGAACUAUAAUCUGAGAGUUAAUAUUAUAAAGUUUCAACAUGUAGCCUAUCAAUUGAAAGAUAAAGAGGAAUUUUUAAAAUUCCAUAUAUUUAUCAUGAAAUGUUGGGAAGAGUUCAGUGAUUAAGGUUUCUCAAACCUCUAAUUUGGCAACUGUAAUCUGCUGUCCAGGCUUCUCCAACUCAAAAGUACCAAUAAUUUUUCUCUAAUGUUUUUUACACUAUAUUUAGGUUAGAUUUUACUUUGGUAUGUACCUUAAUUGUUGUUUUAUGGUUGAUUAGGAGCUCAUGAUUUUUCUCUGGUACAGUCAAAUCAUUAGCGAUGGAAGCCAUAUAGUAGUUUCUAAUUGAUAUGCAGCAUCAAAAAUCUUCAAUUUUUCCUAAUCUUAUCUUACUACCCCUUGUUCUCAUCCUUUUUUUUUCCCUGUAUUUUUAUUCCUUUUCUUGUUCUUUUGUGGGCACCUGGGGUUGUGAUCUUGCUCUAAAUCCCGUUUCUUAUUUUCAUAAUUCCUUCCUGUAUUUCUUCUACAGUUGUACAUUUCAUAGUAAUAUUGUUCCUUGCAGUGUUUCCACUGAAUGCUGUGGGGAUUGAACCAGCAUUCAGGUUCCCAGAUUCUACAUAUGUUGGCGAAGUUUUGCUGUUAAAUGGCUUUAUAGGGAGUGUUCUGUCAGAUUACUUGUGGGCACUUUCUGUGAUUUGGACGACUCCGCUGGUUGCGACAUUGGGCGUUUCCUUGACAAUACCCCUUGCAAUGGUAGCUGACAUGGUUAUACAUGGCCGUCACUACUCUGCAAUCUACAUCUCUGGAUGUAUUCAGGUUUUUGCAGGUUUCAUUAUAGCCAACAUUUCAGACAAAUUUUCACUCAAGAGGGAGUUAUAGCAGUCAUGAACUCUUCCAAGAAGCAUAAUCCUGUAAAUGGGGAGAGUGUACACCAAAUCUUGAAUGAUGAACCUGUUUUAGAAUGUUACAAUAAAUGGUUGUUUGCUUUUUAUGAGGUGGCCCUGCUAAGCUAGACUGUUAUGUAUUCACUUUGCUAAUGCAGUUUUUGAAUGUCAUCUGAAUUCCAUUCCUUCUGAAAAUGCAAUAAAUUGCAAUACCACUGGAUAAUGGUUCUGUUCCUAUUAAGGUUUUCUCAUGCUAGCUCUGCUAAUUCUAAAGCCUAGAAGGAAUGGUAUCAAUGGAGAAAUAACUUGUCCUUUGAAUUGAAAAAAUUAGUUUUUUUCUAAAAAUUAUUCAAUUUUUUUUUAAAUUCACUAUUUUUUUUAUAAGGAAAAUAUUUUCUUCUUGUGAGUCUAAUGAAAAUGAAAUUGAAAUCCAUCUAAUGGAUUAAUGUAAUUUAGAAUUGAAAUCAAAUUAAAAUUAGUGUGUAUCAGAAAAAUUAGUUGAUCUGAUUUAUUUUUGAAGUAAAACUG